RNAcentral lists this ribosomal RNA (459 nucleotides) under Nakaseomyces nivariensis. RNAcentral's name for it is "eukaryotic LSU rRNA". It matches the Rfam family "Eukaryotic large subunit ribosomal RNA", at positions 198 to 660 of the family's 3401-position model. Lineage: Eukaryota; Fungi; Ascomycota; Saccharomycetes; Saccharomycetales; Saccharomycetaceae. The record is from RNAcentral.
GGACGUCAUGGAGGGUGAGAAUCCCGUGUGGCGAGGGUGUUAGUUCUUUGUAAAGGGUGCCUCGAAAGAGUCGAGUUGUUUGGGAAUGCAGCUCUAAGUGGGUGGUAAAUUCCAUCUAAAGCUAAAUACAGGCGAGAGACCGAUAGCGAACAAGUACAGUGAUGGAAAGAUGAAAAGAACUUUGAAAAGAGAGUGAAAAAGUACGUGAAAUUGUUGAAAGGGAAGGGCAUUUGAUCAGACAUGGUGUUUUGCGCCCCUCGCUCCUUGUGGGUGGGGGACUCUCGCAGCUCACUGGGCCAGCAUCAGUUUUUGCGGCAGGACAAAACCUUGGGAAUGUAGCUGUGCGCCUCGGUGUACAGUGUUAUAGCUCUUGGGAAUACUGCCAGCGGGGACUGAGGACUGCGAUACUUUUUUAUCUAGGAUGCUGGCAUAAUGGUUAUAUGCCGCCCGUCUAAAAAA